AUUAUGGUGUUUAUCACAGCUGUAGAAGUAUAGAUCACUUUUUCGAAGAAUGCCACCAAAAACUACGUUGUCGAUGGUGUGUAGAAGGAAUCCAAAAAUGCUUUGAGGUUCAAAAGGAGGGCAAUAACAAUGGUCGACUAUUCAAAACCUACAGUAAUGAUUGCAGAUUUUUUAACUGGGUAAAAGAAGAAGGAAACGGCGAGUCAAGUACCAUUAAGGACACAAUAAAUCCUACUGUGAACGAGGAAGUGAACGAGUUGCAAAAUAUGUUCGAAAGUCUAGCUCGAAUAGCCGAGAACCGAAACGUCGAGGUUUCAUUUAAUGUGACACUUCGCAAAGGAAAAGAGCCCUCGGAAGAUAAUGGAAAACGAAAGGGGUCGGCAUAAUGUGGUGUUAUACUCGAUGUUGCAGUCUUCUCUUUAGUGUGUCUUUAGUUUGUUGGGCUAAUUGCUAGCUUCUUAAUUGAUGUAGAAUGGUGUAAUCUGCUUUAGUUUUGUAAUCAUUAGAUUUGCAACUAUUUUAGUUUUGAAUGAGGAAGACUUUAUGGUUCAUACUGUUGCUAUGAGUUGCUUCUAUGUGAACUGCAAAUUUCAGUCUUAAUCUUCAUUCCUAAAGACAGAUUGAGGAGAAAAUAUAGAAACUAUUAAGAUUCAUUUUAGGUAACAUGUUGACAACGGUUAAACCCAUAUUAAGGUGAGAAUGACAAAAAUACUAAUAUCAAACAAAAACUGAAUUUAGACCACUACAUUCAAGGGGGGGCGGGGGGGACAAAAUGAAUCAGACUGUAAACCAAAUGUGCAUAAUAGAUCUAUGAAAUUAAACCUAAAGAAACCAAAUUCCUGAAUUUACAUCAUAAACCGCAUAACAAAUCAACAUAACAAAAGAUCCAGUCUUGAGAUAUUUUAUAGGCAUAGUGCCAAAUUGUCAUUUACAAAUGCUUGAAUAUCAAUCAUAGUACAGUGGUAGUCGAGAUAUGAAUAACUAAUGAGGUCAAGAAUGUACCCUUCCUUCCUAGUGGAAAUGGACCAAGACAAAUUUACAGAAUUAUCCCCACAAACAAAAAUAGAAACAUUUCGCUCUUAGGCAUUUUUUUUUACUCCGCGAAAUAAAAAAUGUCCCAAAAAUCCUAACAUGAUAGACAGCAAAGAACGAAUAGCAAAAGUCCAAAAAUUCUUCAUCCAUUGUUCAUAUGCCUGGACCACCUUCUUGUGGGAAAUGUGGAUAGUUAACUGUAUGGAAUCGAACGACCUGUCGUAUAAUACGAACAUAAGUACACUUAUAAAAUGUACACUAAUGCAAAUGUGAAGAUUUAAACGUGUGCAAACCUUGAUCGUUGAAUAUGACAUUUGUUGAUGUUGGGGGACCAAACUUGAGGCUGGCCAGUGUUGCGAGAAGGUAAGACUUUCUACAUCACCCUACAUCGUAUAAAAAUGAAAUUAAAAUUUUGAACAAAUCAUUAUAAUAAACUAAGUGUACUAACCAACAGUAGUUGUGAAUACGAAAACGAUGUCUGCAUAGAAUAUUGUUGAGAUGCUUGGACGACGGGUGCAGACGGUGUAUCACUAUGCCUGGAUGUUGGUCCAUUUCCUCUAGUCGAGGGCAAUGUAGCCUACAAAUAUGGUUCAUGUUACAUACUAAUUUUAAUGAAAUACUUUUUAAGUUGACAAAAAUCAUGACAAUGAUACCUUUGCCUUUUUCGAAGAUGUCUCCAAGUCGGCCUUUUCUCUGAAGCUUCUUAGGAGCGCCCUUUCUUCUUGUCGAUAUAGGAUCCCUUAUGGCAUUGUUUUCAGAUUCAUUACACUGCGAGGCUAACUGAAUAUCGUGAUGUAAAAUGCGAUUACUUUCGGAGCCUAAUUUUAUUGUCAUCAACUCUUCCUUUUGAUUAUUUAUCCACUCCUUGAUCGUAUAGCAGCAUCCUUAUCAUUAGCUGCUAGGUUUGCAACCUCGACAAAAGCCUGACAUAUAUCGUUAUAUCUCAACUGUUCAGGCAUAGAUACCAACCCGGCAUAAUUCAAUGCAACCUUGGUGUGUGCUCUACAAACCUCUCUCCUCCAUCUUCGUAGUAUAUACCUAUCUGGAAGAGACGUGACAUCAUUACAGAUCAAGACUACGAUAGCAUGAUGGCACAAAAUUCCUUGAAACUCAAACAAAUGACAACUACAAACAAUUUCGCAAUUAUCUCAUUCAAAUGACACGAAAAACUUUUUGAUCUUUCGUCUAUAAUCAACCAUUACAAACUCCCGUAUUUCAUAGGUUAUGCAUGAAGUGCCUUUCGUAGUAGACAUGAUGUCACAAUAAACUUUCCCUAUAAGCUCAGGUUGAACUUCUCUGAACUUCGAAAUGGUGUAACAGUUUUGAUAUUGCUUCUCCAUUUCAAACAUUGUUGUGCAUGGUACCAUUUGGGAGUAUGACUUGAAGUCGGCCUGGAACUCCUUCUUUACCUUAUUCCUUAGUACCUGUUUAUACUGUUUGACAAAUUGCUUCAACGAGGUCUUCGAAUGAACAUACCCAUCAAAGAAUGCGUUCAUACUCUCACUUCCCUGAGUCGUCGACAUCCCAGCCCAAAAUGUAGUUUUCAAGUAGCAAGGAACCCAACACCUAUAUUAUCAAAUAGUCCCGACAACCACUCAUUACUGUGCAACCCAUAUGUGUCAAUCAUCGCCCUCCAACCUUCUUCAAAUUCUUCCACGAACUGUGAAUCAUAAACCAAUGCAUGUAUGGUAGAAAAAAUGGAAGCCUUAUCGACGUGGUAUCCAAACUUUUCGGACAACUUCUUGAGAAUAUGCCACAAGCACCAUUUAUGCUUCGUAUUAGGAAAAAAAGGUCGACUAUUCAAAACCUACAGUAAUGAUUGCAGAUUUUUUAACUGGGUAAAAGAAGAAGGAAACGGCGAGUCAAGUACCAUUAAGGACACAAUAAAUCCUACUGUGAACGAGGAAGUGAACGAGUUGCAAAAUAUGUUCGAAAGUCUAGCUCGAAUAGCCGAGAACCGAAACGUCGAGGUUUCAUUUAAUGUGACACUUCGCAAAGGAAAAGAGCCCUCGGAAGAUAAUGGAAAACGAAAGGGGUCGGCAUAAUGUGGUGUUAUACUCGAUGUUGCAGUCUUCUCUUUAGUGUGUCUUUAGUUUGUUGGGCUAAUUGCUAGCUUCUUAAUUGAUGUAGAAUGGUGUAAUCUGCUUUAGUUUUGUAAUCAUUAGAUUUGCAACUAUUUUAGUUUUGAAUGAGGAAGACUUUAUGGUUCAUACUGUUGCUAUGAGUUGCUUCUAUGUGAACUGCAAAUUUCAG
This 3285-nucleotide long non-coding RNA is filed under the name Olea europaea (common olive). Its description in RNAcentral is "long non-coding RNA (OEUR_LNC005686)". The record is from RNAcentral. Lineage: Eukaryota; Viridiplantae; Streptophyta; Magnoliopsida; Lamiales; Oleaceae.